UCUAGUGUCAACACUAAAUUUGAAACACUUCAAUACCUUUUCGAAUUUGAAAGUGCAACUCUUUAGGGGUUUGAAUACUGCAAGGGACACUUUGUGGAAACCAAAACCUGAUGCUAGAAG
Molecule: ribosomal RNA, 120 nt
Filed under: Pseudocodium devriesii
Lineage: Eukaryota; Viridiplantae; Chlorophyta; Ulvophyceae; Bryopsidales; Halimedaceae
Source: RNAcentral